UGUCUAGUAAACUCAUAGCUGACUCACCGUUUAUACAAAGAUAUGUUGUAGGUUCGCGUUCAGCAGGCCCUUCCCGUCGUCGUGGUCUUAGGUUCAUUCGACGCGGUGGAGUAACAUUUACACUUUCAUUAGGUGCUGGAGGGACCUUCUUUUGUGUCACGGUGGCUUCUAAGAAUACAACAUCUCUGCUCAUUA
This is a long non-coding RNA of Cydia fagiglandana, 195 nucleotides long. RefSeq lists it as uncharacterized. The record is from RefSeq and is a predicted model, not a curated record. Lineage: Eukaryota; Metazoa; Arthropoda; Insecta; Lepidoptera; Tortricidae. The transcript is spliced from 2 exons.